Molecule: ribosomal RNA, 433 nt
Filed under: uncultured bacterium
Lineage: Bacteria
Description: partial 16S ribosomal RNA
Rfam family: Bacterial small subunit ribosomal RNA
Source: RNAcentral
AGCGAACGCUGGCGGCAGGCCUAACACAUGCAAGUCGAACGAACUCUUCGGAGUUAGUGGCGGACGGGUGAGUAACACGUGGGAACGUGCCUUUUGGUUCGGAAUAACUCAGGGAAACUUGUGCUAAUACCGAAUGUGCCCUUCGGGGGAAAGAUUUAUCGCCAUUAGAGCGGCCCGCGUCUGAUUAGCUAGUUGGUGAGGUAACGGCUCACCAAGGCGACGAUCAGUAGCUGGUCUGAGAGGAUGACCAGCCACACUGGGACUGAGACACGGCCCAGACUCCUACGGGAGGCAGCAGUGGGGAAUCUUGCGCAAUGGGCGAAAGCCUAACGCAGCCAUGCCGCGUGAAUGAUGAAGGUCCUAGGAUUGUAAAAUUCUUUCACCGGGGACGAUAAUGACGGUACCCGGAGAAGAAGCCCCGGCUAACUUCGUG